Cinara cedri is the source of this 299-nucleotide non-coding RNA. Lineage: Eukaryota; Metazoa; Arthropoda; Insecta; Hemiptera; Aphididae. The record is from the annotation of a GenBank genome assembly.
UUCUGGGUUAUAAUAAAUUGAUAAUUACCGGCUGGGCUGCUGCGCUCGCGCCAGAGUCGCGCGUCCUCUCGGCAUCAUAAUCACGUACGUACGUAUAACGUCAUUACCGCAGUGUCUAGUCGUAACGGAACACCUGUCGAACACUGCGCGCAGGUACGUACGCAUAAUCCUGGUGCAGAUGGCACGGGCGAUAUUCCGUAUCCAGAAAGGUGUGUUUUUUCUUGACCACCUGUUAUUGUUCUGUUCUUUUACUUUCGUAAACGCCCGAUUAAAAUGACGUGAAUAAAGGUGGACCUGUA